UGCUGGAGCGAAUAGAAGUGAGCAUGCAGGCAUGAGUAGCGAUAAUUAAUGUGAGAAUCAUUAACGCCGUAAACCCAAGGUUUCCUACGCGAUGCUCGUCAUCGUAGGGUUAGUCGGGUCCUAAGUCGAGUCCGAAAGGGGUAGACGAUGGCAAAUUGGUUAAUAUUCCAAUACCAACAUUAGUGUGCGAUGGAAGGACGCUUAGGGCUAAGGGGGCUAGCGGAUGGAAGUGCUAGUCUAAGGUCGUAGGAGGUUAUACAGGCAAAUCCGUAUAACAAUACUCCGAGAACUGAAAGGCUUUUUGAAGUCUUCGGAUGGAUAGAAGAACCCCUGAUGCCGUCGAGCCAAGAAAAGUUUCUAAGUUUAGCUAAUGUUGCCCGUACCGUAAACCGACACAGGUGGGUGGGAUGAGUAUUCUAAGGCGCGUGGAAGAACUCUCUUUAAGGAACUCUGCAAAAUAGCACCGUAUCUUCGGUAUAAGGUGUGGUUCGCUUCGUAUUAGGAUUUACUCCGAAAGCGAAGAAACUUACAACAAAGAGUCCCUCCCGACUGUUUACCAAAAACACAGCACUCUGCUAACUCGUAAGAGGAUGUAUAGGGUGUGACGCCUGCCCGGUGCUCGAAGGUUAAUUGAUGGGGUUAGCAUUAGCGAAGCUCUUGAUCGAAGCCCGAGUAAACGGCGGCCGUAACUAUAACGGUCCUAAGGUAGCGAAAUUCCUUGUCGGUUAAAUACCGACCUGCAUGAAUGGCGUAACGAGAUGGGAGCUGUCUCAAAGAGGGAUCCAGUGAAAUUGUAGUGGAGGUGAAAAUUCCUCCUACCCGCGGCAAGACGGAGAGACCCCGUGGACCUUUACUACAGCUUGACACUGCUAUUUGGAUAAGAAUGUGCAGGAUAGGUGGGAGGCUUUGAGUAUAUGACGCCAGUUGUAUAUGAGCCAUUGUUGAGAUACCACUCUUUCUUAUUUGGGUAGCUAACCAGCUUGAGUUAUCCUCAAGUGGGACAAUGUCUGGUGGGUAGUUUGACUGGGGCGGUCGCCUCCCAAAUAAUAACGGAGGCUUACAAAGGUUGGCUCAGAACGGUUGGAAAUCGUUCGUAGAGUAUAAAGGUAUAAGCCAGCUUAACUGCAAGACAUACAAGUCAAGCAGAGACGAAAGUCGGUCUUAGUGAUCCGGUGGUUCUGUGUGGAAGGGCCAUCGCUCAAAGGAUAAAAGGUACCCCGGGGAUAACAGGCUGAUCUCCCCCAAGAGCUCACAUCGACGGGGAGGUUUGGCACCUCGAUGUCGGCUCAUCGCAUCCUGGGGCUGGAGCAGGUCCCAAGGGUAUGGCUGUUCGCCAUUUAAAGCGGUACGCGAGCUGGGUUCAGAACGUCGUGAGACAGUUCGGUCCCUAUCUGCCGUGGGCGUAAGAAGAUUGAAGAGAUUUGACCCUAGUACGAGAGGACCGGGUUGAACAAACCACUGGUGUAGCUGUUGUUCUGCCAAGAGCAUCGCAGCGUAGCUAAGUUUGGAAAGGAUAAACGCUGAAAGCAUCUAAGCGUGAAGCCAACUCUAAGAUGAAUCUUCUCUAAGCUCUCUAGAAGACUACUAGUUUGAUAGGCUGGGUGUGUAAUGGAUGAAAGUCCUUUAGCUGACCAGUACUAAUAGAGCGUUUGGCUUAUCUUUAAUAAAGCAU
This 1672-nucleotide ribosomal RNA is filed under the name Campylobacter coli. Its description in RNAcentral is "partial 23S ribosomal RNA". It matches the Rfam family "Bacterial large subunit ribosomal RNA", at positions 1271 to 2925 of the family's 2925-position model. Lineage: Bacteria; Pseudomonadati; Campylobacterota; Epsilonproteobacteria; Campylobacterales; Campylobacteraceae. The record is from RNAcentral.